Molecule: ribosomal RNA, 253 nt
Filed under: uncultured bacterium
Lineage: Bacteria
Description: partial 16S ribosomal RNA
Rfam family: Bacterial small subunit ribosomal RNA
Source: RNAcentral
UACGGGGGGGGCAAGCGUUGUUCGGAAUUACUGGGCGUAAAGGGCUCGUAGGUGGCCAACUAAGUCAGACGUGAAAUCCCUCAGCUUAACUGGGGAACUGCGUCUGAUACUGGUUGGCUUGAGUGCAGGAGAGGAACGCGGAAUUCCAGGUGUAGCGGUGAAAUGCGUAGAUAUCUGGAGGAACACCGGUGGCGAAGGCGGCGUUCUGGACUGCAACUGACACUGAGAAACGAAAGCCAGGGUAGCAAACGGG